AGAGUUUGAUCAUGGCUCAGAGCGAACGUUAGCGGCAGGCUUAACACAUGCAAGUCGAGCGAGAACGGGGCUUCGGCUCCUAGUAAAGCGGCGGACGGGUGCGUAACACGUGGAUAAUCUGCCUUUUAGUGGGGAAUAACACUCCGAAAGGAGUGCUAAUGCCGCAUAAGCCGGCUGAAUCUCCGGAUUCGGUCGAGAAAGGGGGCGCCCGCAAGGGGCUCCCGCUAGAAGAUGAGUCCGCGUCCCAUCAGCUAGUUGGCGGGGUAAUGGCCCACCAAGGCUUUGACGGGUAGCUGGUCUGAGAGGAUGAUCAGCCACACUGGGACUGAGACACGGCCCAGACUCCUACGGGAGGCAGCAGUGGGGAAUAUUGGGCAAUGGGCGCAAGCCUGACCCAGCCAUGCCGCGUGAGUGAUGAAGGCCUUCGGGUCGUAAAGCUCUGUGGGAAGGGACGAACCGCUGCAUGCUAAUACCAUGCAGUCUGACGGUACCUUCUUAGCAAGCACCGGCUAACUCCGUGCCAGCAGCCGCGGUA
Molecule: ribosomal RNA, 535 nt
Filed under: uncultured bacterium
Lineage: Bacteria
Description: bacterial SSU rRNA
Rfam family: Bacterial small subunit ribosomal RNA
Source: RNAcentral